CGGCCCCACACGCGGGAAACUUACAAGUUGUUUUUAGCAAAGUCCCUGAGGUCUAAAUUUUAUUACACAGAAGCCCCUUAAGUAUUGUUAGAAACGAUUGACCCCACCCAGACCCAGGUAAUGCAAUGCUAAAGUACCUACCAAGAAAUUAAAUUGGGAUGUAUCAUCUAUUUCCAACUUACAAUCAAUUGUUAACAACUAAAUUGCUUCAAAAAAAAUUUAUAUCUUACAGUUUCAUCCAAAUCUCUAAUGUGAAAAUUUAUAUUUUACACUCAUUUUUAGAGAUUGAUGACUAUUUUCCAUUAAUCUCUACAUCUCUAUUUAUUCAUGUUAUUGAGAUAUCUACACAUCAACCAAAGUUACAGACUCCAAUACAGCAUUCGCUUAUGUAACAAGAUUUCAAUGUACUUACUAAAAAAUAUAAUCCGAAAAGAGAAAACAAAUUAAUACUAAUACAACUACAACUCUCAAAGUUCUGGCUCUCUUUGUAUGGAAUGGUUCUUUUUUUUCUUUUCUUUUUUUAACACAGUAUGGAAUGGUUCAGCCAACUAUUAUUCAAUGUAAUUGUUUAUUUUUAUUACCGGGAAGAAUCAGAGGAAGUAUCGUGAAGAGAAAUUGUUUAUUAAGAUUAAUAUAGUAUUUUGAUUACUACUUAGUAUUACAAAUAUAUAAGUUUGGAUAAAGGCUUCUCCUCGUAACGUUAGUUUACAAAACAGUAGUUGUAAGGUUCAGAUUUCACUUGUUGACAAGCUAAAAAAUAUUAAAUAAACAAAAAUCGUUACAUCGGAUUCCUCCGUCAGACAACUCAUCUUUUCAUAAUAUAUUCACCUGCGAUCUUCCUCUCCUGCAUGCAACCGGCGGAUACUUUUGAUCUAUAUAGGCACUGAUAGAAUAAAUAAAUAUUCUGUUUAAUAUUAUUUCAUUAUUAUUAGGCUUAUAUUGGGCCUUCACAGCUCAAACACAUACUGGGCCAAAAGAACGCCUUCAGUUUCGUGGCCUGCUGCUAAUCAAUGAUUUUGGAACUCCAGUUUGAAUUUCACAGCAUGAAAGAGAACGCCUUUUUGGUUUUAUUUCUUUUAAAUAAAUUUAUUCGUUUUUUCCACAUGUUAUUUGCUAAUUUGAGUUUCUUUUCUUGUUUUCCACUGAUAUGGAUGAUGAUUUGGAUUCACCACUAAUACAUGUUGGUCUAAGAGAUUUUAUACAAACACUAAUACACCUGAAUUAUUCUCCAAAAAAUUGGAUGAUUUAGGAUUCCAAAAACCGUAGAGGCUUUAAGAUGUAAAUACAUCAUGUGUUAAGUUGUUGAUCUUAUCAUUGCCUUUAACGUAUAUACUUGUUGGAGAAUGAUUUCAUUCCUUGAUAUUUUAGCUCACAUUUGGAUCAUAGAUGUUACCAAGUACAAAAAUUGGACAUAAAUAAUGAUUGUAUUAAUCAGCUCGCCAACAAAAAUAGGCCACAGUUUUUAUAGGUAAGAUGUCACUAGUAUUAGAUAAGCACCACAAUUUAUAAACACCUAAAAGACGCCUAAUUAAGCAUUAACAAUUUUUUUUUAGAAGCUAAAGCCGUCUUCAAUCCAUCAAUCACUUUGGAUACUCAUUGUUCUCGUUUGUUUUUGCUAUAUGAUUUGUUUAGGAAUUCAUCGAACAUUAUCUAUUGGGCACCUCCUUUGUUUUGGUCAGCGCCAUAAGAGUUAUCCGCAAGUGGGAAAAUCAAUACAGUUCAUUAUCCCUUUGGUAUCAAUCCUCCAGUGUUUAUCUAGAGAUGUUUGACACUUGUAAAACGACAAAAUCAGUGAAUUAUUGCUAUGAAAGUAUGAUAGCUAGGGCUUUAGCACAUAUUGUUAAAGUGGGAAUCCCAGAUGAGUGCCCACAAGAUUGUGUCUUUGACUGUUGUAAGAAUCUUCCAACUUCACAAACAGAGACCAAAAUAAUUAUUUUCGCAUCUUCAACCGAUUAAGGCUUUAACACACUUGCACAUACAUACCAUUGGUGCCUCUAUGAUCAUUUUCUCUUAUUUUUCGGAACCUACUGAGUUAAAGUUACAUAAAACAUUCUACUAGUCAUCAAUAUGCAUUGAUUGUUGGAACCUUUUAUAUAAACAUAUUUUACUUGUUUGCAGGAUAUUUACUAUGGCCCCAAAAAAUCAGUUUUCGUGGGGUAUCAUUCAGUAGAUAUUGUGGCUAUAGAGAUAUUUAAGGGACAACUUGUAGCACCUUGCAAGAUGAGCAACGACACUAAGAUUGUCAAUCAAGGAUAUGUUCGAGUAUCUUUGGGAGUUACAUGCCAUUCUUUUGUGAUUAUGCUCAGACUGUUCAUCCUACACUUAGGUCACAUCAUCUCCUUUCUGAUUUUUGUUGCGUCAUAUGGAUGAGGCUCAAAGAGGAAACCUCAAGCGGAAACUGAAUCAAGAUCAUGACUCAGAAACAACAAAAAAGCGUCGUCAUGCGUAAAUAUCAAUGGAUAUGUCGCAUAUAUUUAACAAAAUUCUGAGAUUCAUCAUAAUCACAAAAGAUGGGUAUGUACAUAACUCCCAAAGAUACUCGAACAUAUCAUUAACUAGCAACCUUAAUGAUGUUUUUCAUCACGAAUAUGUGACCGGAUUUAGUUUCUAGUUUGGUUCACAUUUACUAAAAAAGUUUGAGCAUUUGCUCUCGUUUUGUUUUGUCUUUGUUGACAUGUGAUUUAUUUAUUUUUAUCUUUAUAGUGCAAUUAGAUUUAUUCGCUUUUUACCACAUGUUAUUUGCUAAAUUGAGUUUUUUUUUUCUUUUUCCAUUAAUAUGGAUGAUGAUUUGGAUUCACCACCAAGACAUGUUGGUCUAAGAGAUUCUGAAACCAAAGACAUUGUUCGAAAUACAACAAAAUAUAUUAAAUUGGAUGAAUUGGGAUUCCAAAAAACGUAGAAGCAACAUAAAUACAUCAUGUGUUGAGUUUUUGGAUCUUAUCAUUGCCUUAAAACGUAUAUGUUUGUUGGAGGAUGAUUUCAUUCAUUGAUACUUUAGCUCACAUUUGUAUCAUAGAUGUUAGACAAAUAUUUACAAAAAUAGGACAUAGGUAAUGAUUGUGUAAUGGAUACAAAAGCAUAAGUUAGAUUUUUUCUACUUAGUGACAAAAAAGUGGGGGAUAUUUCUCAAACAAUAUAAAACAUUUAUGUCACAUGUUUGGAAGUUUUUAAAAUAAGAUGAUUUCAUUGUUUAUAAACGCUGAAAAACAUCAAUUUGGCCUAUACUUUCCCUUUAAUACUAAGGAAAUUUGACUGUUUAAGUUUUUUGUAAGAUUGGAUUUACUUUCUUAGUUUAGCUUGACUUACUAAGAACUCAUAACAUUAGUUGACAUGUGUUUCAAUUUCUGAUCAUAAUACACCUAUACUUACUAGUUGUUUGUCAUGUGUGUUUCUAAGUCAAUCUUUUUGUUUUUGUUUUCAAAGAUAUGUAUAACAUGGAUGAUGAUAUGGAUAUGAUUCACCAUUAAGACCUCUUGGUAUACAAGAUCUUCCCAAAAAAACUUUCUUGCACAUGAAGCAAUAUAAAUUUUCCAUAGAAGAAGUUCGUGAAUCAAGAAAAAUCUAAUUUGUAGCCAUGGGAAAUAAUGAGUUAAUCGAUGUCACAUCUUUUUAACAAAUAUUGGGUAAUUCCUCCUCUCUUUUGUUUCAUAUAUAUAUGAACUUGGAAAUUCUUCAUUGCAAUCUAAUCUAGAUGAUUAUGAGAUCACAACUGUACAUAAAAUGAAGAAAAGAAAAAGAAAAGAGAAAGAGAAGGAAAGGAGAAGAAGAAGAAGAAAUUGAGAAGGUGGUUUAUCAUGCAACAUGUUGAUUAAACGUAUCAAAGUAGUUGUUUACCUCUAACCAAUUGUAAUGAUGAAAGGUUUUAAUUCUUGAGAUCCAAGGCCAGCUAUUAAUCGCUCUUUCUUAAUUAAGUUGCUCCUACACGUUUUGUUUUUUAAGAAGAUUGAAUUGUUGCAUCAAGCUCCUCCGUUCGUUGACCACUCUGCGAUGACUCAUCCCCUUCGUAUAUUCUCUACCACCGACUCCUAUUCCUCUUAGCUUAUCGUCAAAAGAUUUUGGUUCGGAGUUUUGACGAACUUUAGCGGCUGGUGCUUUUUGAUCGGAUUAUAUGUGUAAACCGGAAAGUUUGGAUUAUAGGUAUUU
RNAcentral lists this long non-coding RNA (4143 nucleotides) under Brassica rapa (field mustard). RNAcentral's name for it is "long non-coding RNA (BRAP_LNC006195)". Lineage: Eukaryota; Viridiplantae; Streptophyta; Magnoliopsida; Brassicales; Brassicaceae. The record is from RNAcentral.